CGUCCUACGGGAGGCAGCAGUAGGGAAUCUUCCACAAUGGACGAAAGUCUGAUGGAGCAACGCCGCGUGAGUGAAGAAGGGUUUCGGCUCGUAAAGCUCUGUUGGUAGUGAAGAAAGAUAGAGGUAGUAACUGGCCUUUAUUUGACGGUAAUUACUUAGAAAGUCACGGCUAACUACGUGCCAGCAGCCGCGGUAAUACGUAGGUGGCAAGCGUUGUCCGGAUUUAUUGGGCGUAAAGCGAGUGCAGGCGGUUCCAUAAGGAUGAUGUGAAAACCUUCGGCUCAACC
This 287-nucleotide ribosomal RNA is filed under the name uncultured bacterium. Its description in RNAcentral is "partial 16S ribosomal RNA". It matches the Rfam family "Bacterial small subunit ribosomal RNA", at positions 335 to 614 of the family's 1533-position model. The record is from RNAcentral.